UUAAGCGACUAAGCGUACACGGUGGAUGCCCUGGCAGUCAGAGGCGAUGAAGGACGUGCUAAUCUGCGAUAAGCGUCGGUAAGGUGAUAUGAACCGUUAUAACCGGCGAUUUCCGAAUGGGGAAACCCAGUGUGAUUCGUCACACUAUCAUUAACUGAAUCCAUAGGUUAAUGAGGCGAACCGGGGGAACUGAAACAUCUAAGUACCCCGAGGAAAAGAAAUCAACCGAGAUUCCCCCAGUAGCGGCGAGCGAACGGGGAGCAGCCCAGAGCCUGAAUCAGUGUGUGUGUUAGUGGAAGCGUCUGGAAAGGCGCGCGAUACAGGGUGACAGCCCCGUACACAAAAAUGCACAUGCUGUGAGCUCGAUGAGUAGGGCGGGACACGUGGUAUCCUGUCUGAAUAUGGGGGGACCAUCCUCCAAGGCUAAAUACUCCUGACUGACCGAUAGUGAACCAGUACCGUGAGGGAAAGGCGAAAAGAACCCCGGCGAGGGGAGUGAAAAAGAACCUGAAACCGUGUACGUACAAGCAGUGGGAGCCUCUUCGGGGUGACUGCGUACCUUUUGUAUAAUGGGUCAGCGACUUAUAUUCUGUAGCAAGGUUAACCGAAUAGGGGAGCCGAAGGGAAACCGAGUCUUAACUGGGCGUUAAGUUGCAGGGUAUAGACCCGAAACCCGGUGAUCUAGCCAUGGGCAGGUUGAAGGUUGGGUAACACUAACUGGAGGACCGAACCGACUAAUGUUGAAAAAUUAGCGGAUGACUUGUGGCUGGGGGUGAAAGGCCAAUCAAACCGGGAGAUAGCUGGUUCUCCCCGAAAGCUAUUUAGGUAGCGCCUCGUGAAUUCAUCUCCGGGGGUAGAGCACUGUUUCGGCAAGGGGGUCAUCCCGACUUACCAACCCGAUGCAAACUGCGAAUACCGGAGAAUGUUAUCACGGGAGACACACGGCGGGUGCUAACGUCCGUCGUGAAGAGGGAAACAACCCAGACCGCCAGCUAAGGUCCCAAAGUCAUGGUUAAGUGGGAAACGAUGUGGGAAGGCCCAGACAGCCAGGAUGUUGGCUUAGAAGCAGCCAUCAUUUAAAGAAAGCGUAAUAGCUCACUGGUCGAGUCGGCCUGCGCGGAAGAUGUAACGGGGCUAAACCAUGCACCGAAGCUGCGGCAGCGACACUAUGUGUUGUUGGGUAGGGGAGCGUUCUGUAAGCCUGUGAAGGUGUACUGUGAGGUAUGCUGGAGGUAUCAGAAGUGCGAAUGCUGACAUAAGUAACGAUAAAGCGGGUGAAAAGCCCGCUCGCCGGAAGACCAAGGGUUCCUGUCCAACGUUAAUCGGGGCAGGGUGAGUCGACCCCUAAGGCGAGGCCGAAAGGCGUAGUCGAUGGGAAACAGGUUAAUAUUCCUGUACUUGGUGUUACUGCGAAGGGGGGACGGAGAAGGCUAUGUUGGCCGGGCGACGGUUGUCCCGGUUUAAGCGUGUAGGCUGGUUUUCCAGGCAAAUCCGGAAAAUCAAGGCUGAGGCGUGAUGACGAGGCACUACGGUGCUGAAGCAACAAAUGCCCUGCUUCCAGGAAAAGCCUCUAAGCAUCAGGUAACAUCAAAUCGUACCCCAAACCGACACAGGUGGUCAGGUAGAGAAUACCAAGGCGCUUGAGAGAACUCGGGUGAAGGAACUAGGCAAAAUGGUGCCGUAACUUCGGGAGAAGGCACGCUGAUAUGUAGGUGAAGCGACUUGCUCGUGGAGCUGAAAUCAGUCGAAGAUACCAGCUGGCUGCAACUGUUUAUUAAAAACACAGCACUGUGCAAACACGAAAGUGGACGUAUACGGUGUGACGCCUGCCCGGUGCCGGAAGGUUAAUUGAUGGGGUUAGCGCAACGCGAAGCUCUUGAUCGAAGCCCCGGUAAACGGCGGCCGUAACUAUAACGGUCCUAAGGUAGCGAAAUUCCUUGUCGGGUAAGUUCCGACCUGCACGAAUGGCGUAAUGAUGGCCAGGCUGUCUCCACCCGAGACUCAGUGAAAUUGAACUCGCUGUGAAGAUGCAGUGUACCCGCGGCAAGACGGAAAGACCCCGUGAACCUUUACUAUAGCUUGACACUGAACAUUGAGCCUUGAUGUGUAGGAUAGGUGGGAGGCUUUGAAGUGUGGACGCCAGUCUGCAUGGAGCCGACCUUGAAAUACCACCCUUUAAUGUUUGAUGUUCUAACGUUGACCCGUGAUCCGGGUUGCGGACAGUGUCUGGUGGGUAGUUUGACUGGGGCGGUCUCCUCCUAAAGAGUAACGGAGGAGCACGAAGGUUGGCUAAUCCUGGUCGGACAUCAGGAGGUUAGUGCAAUGGCAUAAGCCAGCUUGACUGCGAGCGUGACGGCGCGAGCAGGUGCGAAAGCAGGUCAUAGUGAUCCGGUGGUUCUGAAUGGAAGGGCCAUCGCUCAACGGAUAAAAGGUACUCCGGGGAUAACAGGCUGAUACCGCCCAAGAGUUCAUAUCGACGGCGGUGUUUGGCACCUCGAUGUCGGCUCAUCACAUCCUGGGGCUGAAGUAGGUCCCAAGGGUAUGGCUGUUCGCCAUUUAAAGUGGUACGCGAGCUGGGUUUAGAACGUCGUGAGACAGUUCGGUCCCUAUCUGCCGUGGGCGCUGGAGAACUGAGGGGGGCUGCUCCUAGUACGAGAGGACCGGAGUGGACGCAUCACUGGUGUUCGGGUUGUCAUGCCAAUGGCACUGCCCGGUAGCUAAAUGCGGAAGAGAUAAGUGCUGAAAGCAUCUAAGCACGAAACUUGCCCCGAGAUGAGUUCUCCCUGACUCCUUGAGAGUCCUGAAGGAACGUUGAAGACGACGACGUUGAUAGGCCGGGUGUGUAAGCGCAGCGAUGCGUUGAGCUAACCGGUACUAAUGAACCGUGAGGCUUAACCU
RNAcentral lists this ribosomal RNA (2898 nucleotides) under Escherichia coli. RNAcentral's name for it is "23S ribosomal RNA". It matches the Rfam family "Bacterial large subunit ribosomal RNA". Lineage: Bacteria; Pseudomonadati; Pseudomonadota; Gammaproteobacteria; Enterobacterales; Enterobacteriaceae. The record is from RNAcentral.